UUUUUGGAACUAUGUUUAGGUUACAUCAAUUAGGUCCUUAAGACCACAUUCCCUCUCCUCCUUUUUAGCAGUCCCAUCUUUUCAAGUUUUUACUCUCUAUGUUAUUUCCCACUCAUUUCACACUCCCCUGUCUCCGUCUAUUUCUCUUCAUCUCCUCUAUUUGAAGCCAUUUCCCCCUUUCUUCUCCACCUAUAUUGUGUGAAUCGAUCAAGAAGCAAGGUGUGGGAGCACUAUGGAUGACGAUAAGGCCGACGCUAAGUUUGUCUGCAUACCUAAGUUUCCAUCAUGGACCACACACCUCUAUCUCUAUGUGGCUGUUUUUCUCAGCAGAAAUCAAUUGUUUGACGUUGGCUUAGUUAAAAAGGUGAGAUACGAGCAGCAUAUUUGUUACCAUACAACAAGAAGUGAUAGCAGAGUACUAUAUACUUACACAGCCAUUAGGAUUAAAGAUAAGUUAAAUUUAAAAUUAUUUUGAUUUGAUAAAUUAAAUUUAAGAAGUAAAAAUAUUUAUUAAAAAAAAAAGAUAUAGCAGGGCGGGACUCUAUGAGGGCGAAAGCGCAUCCUAUUCUCUCUGCGGUGGGCAAGGACCCGCUUGAAUUGUUUUAUACAAAAUACAAUACAAUUAUAACAUAAUAUAAUAUAAGAAUUAUAACAUAGAAAAAUGAUAUCAUAACACUAUAUCUGGUGACACUCUCUUUGAAAUGGUCAGUCCAAUGACGAAUUUUUCAAAAGAACUAUGUAAGUGCUAUAAUUUUCAAAGGGAAUAAUACAUCGUUCAAGUAGAGUACUAAUGAUAUCACCAUGACAUGAUAUCAUUUCCCUUAUAACAUAACAUAACACAAUAUAAUAUAAUAUCAUAUCAUAUGCUAAUAAUGCUUUUUUGACAAAGAAGCAACUUUCAUUCAUCCAUUAAUUAAUAAUAAUAGAUAUAUAUUAAACUUAUAUUAUCAUAUCAGUUUAAUAAUAUAAUAAUGCUAGACAGUUGAGAGUUGUUAGUAAUAAUCCCUCCUCGCAAGAUCUGAAUUUACAUAGCAUAGUAGUAUGCUCGCUCUCUCUCCCCAAACCCUAACCCAGUAAACCCCGCCCCAUCCUGUAGCUGCCGUCGGCGUGUCCGGCGGUGAUCGUCCUUCCCGUGCUCUUAAAGAUCAUUUCCCCUCUUUUUUCUUGGUCAACAAGCAUCUCUGCUAUCGCUCCUUCACCGUCGCUCUUCCACAGCCACCCCGUUUCUUCGUCCUUCACCUAACCAACUCAACGUCGAUCCACCGCUGCACAGAGCUGCAGCCCACCCUAAUUUUCUGCCGUUCAAUUCCCUCGCAGCUCAGCAUCAAUUCAAUCCACCCCUUGACAUACCGGACCAACUCAAGUGUGACUCUUUUGGAGGCCUUGAUGGUCAAUGAUUUCUCUUCCCCGCCCAAGCUAAAAACUUUGGCCUCGCGGAGGCUCAUCGUUGAUGAUUUACCGACGUAAUCCGAUGCUAUAGUCGUGUUCAAUUCUAUUUUCCCCCGGUGUCCGUUUAGAGGAGCUUCUGAUUUGGUCAGAUUGUGUAUGUGUUUGGUUAGUCUUGGAAGAUCUAUUAUUGGGUCUGAUUUGCUUGGCAUUAUGUGGUUGUGAUUGGAUUCUGUACUAUGUGCGAUCAGUUUUCCUUAUUGCCCUUCUAAUAAAGGGUAUGUUGUUACCUAGUAGCUCUAUGGCCGGGACAAACACUGACAGUGUCAUGGUCGAGAUAGACUCCGACAGUGUCGUGGCUAGGUUAGGCGCCGACAGUAUCAUGUGGUCAAUUAAUGUAUAUUAUGUGUACUAAUUAAUAAAAUAUAUCCUUUCCAAAAAAAAA
Punica granatum (pomegranate) is the source of this 1831-nucleotide non-coding RNA. Lineage: Eukaryota; Viridiplantae; Streptophyta; Magnoliopsida; Myrtales; Lythraceae. The record is from RefSeq and is a predicted model, not a curated record.